UUAGAGUAGCAGAUUACUAUCGUACCGAGUACGUUAGUUCCACAACAGUCAUAAUUAUAGUAAUUCACUGUUAUCUCUGUUUACAUUAUGAAAAGUACGCUACAUAAAACCUGCUACACACAUAGUAACAAUACUCUCUGUUUUAUACAUUAUUUGAAAUGUAAGCCAAUGGAAUUAACUUCCGUUACAAUGUUACUCCAUGUCCCUCUCGGUAGAAUUAGAACUUGUGAUUGUUAUGUCUUUCAUAUGCUACAUAUGAGGAGGACAUGCUAAAUUAUAAGUAUGAUUAUCAACAAACGUCCAAAGUCCACCCAUUAAAGUGAUGUAUCGUACCUGCUGCCUGCGCUGCUCAGCCUCGGCCAGUCUGUCCUGCAGAUCCCUCAGUGAGGGUGGUGACACCUGCUGCUCCUCUAGUCGCUGCAGACGCUUGGGCGGGUGUUUCUUGAUCAAACUAUCUUCAUGUAACGGCACUUCAAACGCAAGUCCUUGAGCUGUGAGUUUAUAAAGAUUGAAUCUCAUAAAGUGCUUGUUCCACCGGGACUCGAACCCAGACCUCUCACUUUCCGGGUGAGUAUGCUACCACUACACACCUAAUGAGAUAUAUAUUCAAGGUAAACUUAAAUGUUUAAAAGAUGCAAACAAAUAAAUAAUGUUAUAAGUUA
Homalodisca vitripennis (glassy-winged sharpshooter) is the source of this 662-nucleotide long non-coding RNA. RefSeq lists it as uncharacterized. The record is from RefSeq and is a predicted model, not a curated record. The transcript is spliced from 3 exons. Lineage: Eukaryota; Metazoa; Arthropoda; Insecta; Hemiptera; Cicadellidae.